Molecule: ribosomal RNA, 497 nt
Filed under: uncultured bacterium
Lineage: Bacteria
Description: partial 16S ribosomal RNA
Rfam family: Bacterial small subunit ribosomal RNA
Source: RNAcentral
GACGAACUCUUUCUUCGUGCCUAAUACAUGCAAGUUGAGCGCUGAAGGUUGGUACUUGUACCAACUGGAUGAGCAGCGCACGGGUGAGUAACGCGUGGGGAAUCUGCCUUUGAGCGGGGGACAACAUUUGGAAACGAAUGCUAAUACCGCAUAAAAACUUUAAACACAAGUUUUAAGUUUGAAAGAUGCAAUUGCAUCACUCAAAGAUGAUCCCGCGUUGUAUUAGCUAGUUGGUGAGGUAAAGGCUCACCAAGGCGAUGAUACAUAGCCGACCUGAGAGGGUGAUCGGCCACAUUGGGACUGAGACACGGCCCAAACGCCUACGGGAGGCAGCAGUAGGGAAGCUUCGGCAAUGGACGAAAGUCUGACCGAGCAACGCCGCGUGAGUGAAGAAGGUUUUCGGAUCGUAAAACUCGGUUGGUAGAGAAGAACGUUGGUGAGAGUGGAAAGCUCAUCAAGUGACGGUAACUACCCAGAAAGGGACGGCUAACUACGUG